This 497-nucleotide ribosomal RNA is filed under the name uncultured bacterium. RNAcentral's name for it is "partial 16S ribosomal RNA". It matches the Rfam family "Bacterial small subunit ribosomal RNA", at positions 28 to 507 of the family's 1533-position model. The record is from RNAcentral.
GAUGAACGCUGGCGGCGUGCCUAAUACAUGCAAGUCGAGCGAACGGACGUGAAGCUUGCUUCUCUGAUGUUAGCGGCGGACGGGUUAGUAACACGUGGAUAACCUACCUAUAAGACUGGGUUAACUUCGGGAAACCGGAGCUAAUACCGGAUAAUAUUAUGCACCGCAUGGUUCAAAAGUGAAAGACGGUCUUGCUGUCACUUAUAGAUGGAUCCGCGCUGCAUUAGCUAUUUGGUAAGGUAACGGCUUACCAAGGCAACGAUGCAUAGCCGACCUGAGAGGGUGAUCGGCCACACUGGAACUGAGACACGGUCCAGACUCCGAAGGGAGGCAGCAGUAGGGAAUCUUACGCAAUGGGCGAAAGCCUGACGGAGCAAAGCCGCGGGAGUGAUGAAGGUCUGAGGAUCGUAAAACGAUGUUAUUAGGGAAGAACAUAUGUGUAAGUAACUGUGAACAUAUUGACGGUACCUAAGCAGAAAGCCACGGCUAACUACGUG